ACUAUUCGCUAAAAGCCUAAAAUGAGCUCCUUUUAAAUUAGAGGUCUUUUCGCAAAUAAUGGUCACUCGUGGUGCGUUUUUGGGCCACCUUCCAAUGGCCAUCAUCUUGAAUCGGUGCUUCGAUGGCUCUUGUUCGAAAAUUAUAAAGGCAAGUUCGUUUCUUGUUUUUCUUUGAUCUAAUAAUAUAAAUACUUUACGCUUUGUAGUUUUUCUUUCGUCUCCACGCAAUUUCUUGUUCUUGUAGCUUUCACAAAUGUGUGAUGCUUCCGUUCCGUAUUUGUCUUGAAUCAUCAAACAUAAAUAUUUGUAUUCAACUCUAGCAAAGGAUCAUGCCACUCUGAUGCGAUUCAAAGAAGAAGGAAAAUGAAAAACAGGUGUGAUCUUUUCAUAACAUAAACCACAUGAUUAUGAUUAUAUGAUUAUAUAUAUUAUUUGUGAUGUGAUUCAUAUUUUUUUUCACGAUCAGGUAUAAUUGUGUGCUUAAAUCUAUUUUUGUAUAGAUUGUUUUGUAUCUUAUUAUAUGGUCUGUUUCUUCUUUUUCGAUUCUUAAUUUUCGUUAGUAUCUAUGGUGAUUGUUUGCGAUUUUUGGACGGUGGUGGUGGUGGUGGUGGUGGUGGAGGUGAUGACUUAAUUAGUGCGAGUGGUGUAAUUUAAUUGACUAGUUUUAUUGCUUGAUUAUAUCUUUACCUUUGUAAUUUAGGAUAUAGGAGUAAUCAGAGAUCUUAAUUUUAGUCAUUUUUGAAUGCUAAGUUGACUUUUUUUAACUUCGUUUAUAUUUGAAAUUUGACUUUUUUCUACGUGUUAUAGUUUGAAUUUUUUUGUCUUCAUUACAAGAUUAAUGAUAGUCUUUAUUGUUGAUUAUUGUACCUGAAUUUAAUUAUUCAUGGCGGCCAUAAAGGAUGGCUUUAUUGUGCCUUAAUUAGGUAUUAUUGCGCCAUUAAUGGUUGAUUGUUUAAUUGGUGUAUACCAAAUUUACAUUAUGAUGAUAAUAAUAAUUAGCUAAAAUCGUGAUA
This 1013-nucleotide long non-coding RNA is filed under the name Daucus carota (carrot). RNAcentral's name for it is "long non-coding RNA (DCAR_LNC000842)". The record is from RNAcentral. Lineage: Eukaryota; Viridiplantae; Streptophyta; Magnoliopsida; Apiales; Apiaceae.